RNAcentral lists this ribosomal RNA (279 nucleotides) under Triticum aestivum (bread wheat). Its description in RNAcentral is "partial small subunit ribosomal RNA". Lineage: Eukaryota; Viridiplantae; Streptophyta; Magnoliopsida; Poales; Poaceae. The record is from RNAcentral.
AUGUGCGACUGCUACACACCACAAGGUGUUCCAAUCCCCACCAACAAGAGGCACAAUGCUGCCAAGAUCUUCAACACCUCGAAGGUUGCAGCUGAGGAGAGAUGGUAUGGAAUUGAGCAGGAGUACACUCUCCUCCAGAAGGAUGUGAACUGGCCCCUUGGCUGGCCCGUUGGUGGCUACCUUGGUCCUCAGGCAAGAAAACUCUCAGCAUGCUCUCCAGCUCUCCUGUUUUUGUUAUGCAGGUUGGAAGAAAAGAAGAAGAUCCAGAGAAGAUCUUAG